CGUAAGAGCUCGUAGGCGGUUUGUCGCGUCUGCUGUGAAAUCUGGGGGCUCAACCCCCAGCCUGCAGUGGGUACGGGCAGACUAGAGUGCGGUAGGGGAGAUUGGAAUUCCUGGUGUAGCGGUGGAAUGCGCAGAUAUCAGGAGGAACACCGAUGGCGAAGGCAGAUCUCUGGGCCGUAACUGACGCUGAGGAGCGAAAGCAUGGGGAGCGAACAGGAUUAGAUACCCUGGUAGUCCAUGCCGUAAACGUUGGGAACUAGAUGUGGGGGCCAUUCCACGGUCUCCGUGUCGCAGCUAACGCAUUAAGUUCCCCGCCUGGGGAGUACGGCCGCAAGGCUAAAACUCAAAGGAAUUGACGGGGGCCCGCACAAGCGGCGGAGCAUGCGGAUUAAUUCGAUGCAACGCGAAGAACCUUACCAAGGCUUGACAUAUACCGGAAACGUCCAGAGAUGGUCGCCCCGCAAGGUCGGAAUACAGGUGGUGCAUGGUUGUCGUCAGCUCGUGUCGUGAGAUGUUGGGUUAAGUCCCGCAACGAGCGCAACCCUCGUUCUAUGUUGCCACCACGUUAUGGUGGGAACUCAUAGGAGACUGCCGGGGUCAACUCGGAGGAAGGUGGGGAUGACGUGAAAUCAUCAUGCCCCUUAUGUCUUGGGCUUCACGCAUGCUACAGUGGCCGGUACAAAGGGCUGCGAUACCGUAAGGUGCAGCGAAUCCCAAUAAGCCGGUCUCAGUCGGAUUGAGGUCUGCAACUCGACCUCAUGAAGCCGAGUCGCUACUAAUCGCAGAUUAGCAACGCUGCGGGAAUACUGUCCCGGGCCUUGUACACAUCGCCCGUCAAGUCAUGAAAGUCAGAACACCGAAGACAGUGCCUAACCCCUUGA
This 881-nucleotide ribosomal RNA is filed under the name Frigoribacterium sp. RNAcentral's name for it is "bacterial SSU rRNA". It matches the Rfam family "Bacterial small subunit ribosomal RNA", at positions 559 to 1444 of the family's 1533-position model. Lineage: Bacteria; Bacillati; Actinomycetota; Actinomycetes; Micrococcales; Microbacteriaceae. The record is from RNAcentral.